Molecule: long non-coding RNA, 1890 nt
Filed under: Sus scrofa (pig)
Lineage: Eukaryota; Metazoa; Chordata; Mammalia; Artiodactyla; Suidae
Description: lncRNA (ENSSSCG00025017876.1)
Source: RNAcentral
GGUGGGUGAAGGAUCAGGCAUUGCCCUGAGCUGAGGAGUGUAGGUUGCAGACACAGCUUGGAUCCUGUGUUGCUGUGGCUGUGAUGUAGGCCAGCAGCUGCAGCUCCAAUUCCACUCCCAGAUGUGACCCCUAGCCCAGGAACGUCCAUGUACCGUAGGUGCGGCCAUUAAAAAAAAAAAAAGGCCAUCUGCUCCUUUAAGAUUAUGUUACUUAUCUGGCCUCUCAGAAUCCAAGUCUGUACAAGAGACUCAGUGAUGUUCAGAGUAUGCAAGCGGAGACAGUGUGCUUUCCUUCUGGGCUCCAGAUUUCUAAAGAAACCCAAGCAAAGAAUUCUUCUAUGUAUUCCUUCAUGCCCUCAUUACUUCAUAGUUUUGUUCAGAAAAACAAAGUAUGGAGACAUUCAUACCCAGUGUUUUGACAACAGUAAAUCAAGACAGGAAAAAGGAGAAAAGAAAGACAGAACCAAGGUAAACAAACAAAAAAAUACAAUAAAGUUAAGAUCUCAAUGAUAUAGAGCUGGUGGUAAUCCAUGCUGACAAUGAAAAAUACUAAGUAUCAUAAGCAGAUUGAAUGAGGAUUCUGGAGUAUAAAAAACCUUAGUUUCUUAGGGAGCGAUUCUGACAAGAUUCUGCAAAUUAACACUGGCUUUCGGCUCCUUCCCCCAGACCAACCUUGCAUAUGCCCAAAAAGUGAGAAGGAGGUUGAUGGGUAUGAGAGAUUAACCAACAACUGAGAAAUUCCAGGAAGGCUAAAGUUGGUAAAUUCUAGAUACGGAUUAUGGAUAGAAAAGUGGCAGCUCACGGCAGAAGAGGGCAGCACAGAGCAGAUGAAGACAAGAUUGGAGAGAUUCAUGUAUUUUUCUGGGUUUGUGUGUGUGUUUUCAUAUUCCUCUGGGUGCAUCACCAUCCACUCAGGAAAAAAAAAUAAUGGAGGUGAGGAAAAAACUUGAACAUAUCACUAACGUCUAUUUAAACAUGAUGGGUUGAACCCAGGCUUUUAUGACUCUCCUUUCUAAAAUCCUGCUAAAAUGAUAGUAAGCAAAAAACCCACAAGAGAAUGAGAGAUGAGACACAAGCAAAUGGGAGCCACCAGUGGGAUUUUGGAAGCUUGAAAAAUAGAUGGAUAAGUGGUUCCUGAUUUAGCGGAGCAGAAAAUUUAAACCUAGGAUGGUGGUGGGUGAAGCCAGGAAACAGGCGAAUCCAUCGUCCCCCAUCUCCUCCUUCCACCCCUGCUCCCUCCAGUCCCCCAAACUCAGGGAUCAAGGAUAUCAUGUAUCUCUGAGAGGGGCAGCGCCACUGAGAUUGAAAUCAGCAAGUUGAACGUUUGUCUAAGAAACAGUUAGAACCCAGAUCUCCUCCUUCACUUCUCACUGCCAACAGACUGUGUGGUCUUCGUCCCAGCAGAGGCGCUCCAGGGCCUGGGGAAACCUGGCACAGCUGAGGGCAGACUACUGUGCUCCAGGAGAGCCUCAGCUUUUUCCCCUCUGCUUGACUUUGAGAAAGCUCACCGCCGAAAGCUACGAAAACUAUUCUCUGGGCUCUGACCAGACAAAAUGAAAGAUGUACGGCUAAUGACAGCUGGGAAGACCCUAACAAAGCCCCGUAUUACCCCAAAGCUAACUCUACCCAUCGACACACACCAGCCCAUGAAGAGUUGUCUCGAUGUUACUUUAGUGGUGACUCUUACACCUUAGCAGACAACCCAUGAUCAUCUGAGGAAUGUUUGUAGCAUGACAGAAACCCAAACCAAAGGAGCUGGGAGGAAAAAUGUAACGCAGGGGAAGAAAAGUUCAACCACAGCCAUCUCGAACCUAUUGUUAGAUGAUCAGAGUUGACAGAAGAGACCAUUGACAUUUAGAGAAUAAAAACAUAUGGAGAAUUUGGGGGACA